UACGUAGGGACCGAGCGUUGUCCGGAUUCAUUGGGCGUAAAGAGCUCGUAGGCGGCUGCUCAAGUCGAAUGUGAAAACUCGAGGCUCAACCUCGAGCCUGCAUUCGAUACUGGGCGGCUAGAGUCUGGUAGGGGGAUCUGGAAUUCCUGGUGUAGCGGUGGAAUGCGCAGAUAUCAGGAGGAACACCCGUGGCGAAGGCGGCUCUCUGGUACGUGACUGACGCUGAGACGCGAAAGCGUGGGGAGCAAACAGG
Molecule: ribosomal RNA, 253 nt
Filed under: uncultured bacterium
Lineage: Bacteria
Description: partial 16S ribosomal RNA
Rfam family: Bacterial small subunit ribosomal RNA
Source: RNAcentral